UAGCUCAGGGCUGGUCUUCCUCAGCAAAAAGAGGAGGCUUGGCAGCAGAUGUUAGUUCAGGGCUAACUUUCCUCAAAAAAAAAAAAAAUAGGAAUUCAGAAAACCUUUGAAAACCAUAAUCAUUCUUGUAUUAAUUCAGCAAAUAUUUAUUGAAUGUCUACUACUUAUCAGAGAUUGCUCUUGGUGUUAGGCUAUUGCAGAGACUAAAACAGACAUUCCUCAUGGAGGUUAUGUACUAUUGGAAGAAGAAAUGAUAUCAGACCCAAAGUGAGUUCGCUCACCUGUCACGCAGCAAGCCAAUCUCUGACACCAGGUGUAGUCGAAAAAAGUAGGAAUUUUAUUGCAAAGCACUGAGCAAGGGGAAUGGGCAGCUCGAGCUGCAAUCCCAAACUCCCUGAAAAGCUACAAGCAAGAGUUUUUAUUCAGGGUUUUAGGUAGGGGAGGGGGAGCACGUGGCCUCGGGGGCUGAAGUUCUAAGAGUCCUCUGCGCAAGCGUGACCAUCUGUUCUAUGUGUUGCCCGCAGUGGAGUUUUUAGUCUUCGACGUCUGAAGUUUACAAUCAUUCUUGCUUCUCAGUGUUCCUGUAAGAUGCUCAGUCAGGCAGAGGGCUGUCAACAAGUUCCUCUCUUAUCAGGGAUCCUCCUGCUGUUCUGUAAGGCAAACUCAGAAACUUUGGUUAUUUUGUUUCCUAUGUUAACCUUGUGGGUACAAGGCACAGUUUCACCCUAAUCCAGGGAAAUUUUAACUCCUUCAUCCUCAGUUUCAGAAAGACAAACCAACAAUAAUAAUAAUAAUAAUAAUAAUAAUAAUAAACACUCAGGUGAUGAUACCUGCUAUGGAGCGAGUUAAAGCAGGGAGAAAGAGAGAGCAUAGGGGGUGCUCUGGGUGGUGGGCCUUGGAAGGGGCGGCUCUUUCGAUGGGGUGUCCAGGGAAGCAUCUCUGACCAGGAGGCGUUUGAGCAGAGACCUGAAGCAAGAAGGGGAUGAGCCAUGUGGAUGUCUAGGGGAGGACCUUGCCAGGCAGGGGAAGCAGCAAGCACAAAGCUUCCAAGAGAAGCCCUGUUAUGAAUGUUAGUAGGUGGUACUGUUCAGCCAAAGCUUCGCUGGAGUCAGUAUCGUUUGUAAGCAAAGAGAUUUCAUUAGGACUUGUUUCUUCCCCAAAUAAAUUUAAAAUCGUUUUCUUAAGCACCUGCUUCUUUUUGACUAUCUAUCUAUCUAUCUACCUAUUUUUACUCCCCUAUGCCAGAUAGUAGUAUGUAGUGAAAAUGAAAUUCUUUGCAUUUAAGUUAAAGUGGAAGUAAGGCCUGGAGUAAACUUCUACCAAGGCCUUUCUGUCAGUCUGAAUUUUUGUUCCCCUUCCCUGUGAUCCUAUCAGAGAAGGUUACUGGACAGACUUCUUGUAUCGCCAGCUUCUGCCUUUUGGGAAGGCAGCUUUAUCUCUGCAGCAACUUGUCCUGCUCCAACUUUUUGGUGAAUUUAUUUGCUCCAAGUCUGCAGUAUAAAAGGCAAUGUAAUAAAAGUAGAGUAAGAAAAGAGGAAAAGAAAAACCAAAACAGUACUCCAAAAGGCACAAUUCCUAGAGCGGGAAUCAGGAGGAAAGUUCACUUUAGCAACAUGGCCAAAUGUAUGUUCUGUUAGGAAUAUAAUUCAUUUUGUGUAAUUAUAUCAUUUUGAUUCGUUGAACAGAGACUUAAAUGUAUGUAACAUAAAGUGAUAGGACAACGAGUUAUUUAUGACAUCACAGAAGUUAGUCUGGGGCUGUAGACGUCUUGUCACAGUUUGGCUCAGGAAGCCAGACUGGGUCCCUGGAGCCCUGGUGUCAUCUGGGACCGUCGUGGCCUUCCUCAGCCUCUCUGGGUCUACAUGUCCCAGUAGAGGCCAGGCCUCUGGAACUGUUUCCAAGCUCCAAUCUUGAGAUCUGCCCCGGCCAGUCCACUCUCCGAGACUCAGCUCAAGGGUUAUCCCCAGAGUGAAGUCUUUCCUCGGCCCUCUGUGACUGCCCCAUUAUGUGUGGAGCACUUGGUGUACUGCUGGGACACAAAGGAAUAUAAGGAUUUAGGGGACUGUUCAGGAGCUCUGGACUCACAAUUUUAAACCUUUUUGAGAAGAACCUCAGAUUUCAGACCGAAUAGUGCUACAUAAAUAUGCAAAAUUACCGCAAAAACCAUCUUUGGAUUUCAAUGUAAUUGCCAGUGCCUUGCAAAUAGUAAGUAUUCUGCAAAAUGAAUGGUGCAUAUUAAAUGGGUAUUUCUACCACAAAAAACAAUAUCUUUGGGAAAACAGUACUGCUAUCUUAGGAGCAAGAGGGGUAGUGUGUAACAACACUAGGAAUGAGAGGGAGGAUGGAGGAACACUUGAUAAUUUUUUUCUUUUGGUGAGGAAGAUUUGCUCUGAGCUAACAUCUGUGCCAACCUUCCUCUAUUUUGUAUGUGUGUCACCGCCACAGCGUAGCUUGAUGAGUGGCAUAGAUCUGUGCCCAAGAUCCAAACCCAUGGACCCAGGCCACUGAAGUGGAGCAUGCUGGACUUAUCCAUGACGCCACAAGGCCGGCCUGAUAAUUUUUUUUUUUGAAGAAUUUUUUUAAUCCCUCUUUUUAGCCUUUUCUAUACAUUUUUGGUCAGCUGUCCAUACCAGAGCAAUUUUCAAUAUUUUGUUAGAGAACUGCCUGUAAUAAGAAGUAUUUAAAAAAUAUGAAAUGGCUUUUCUUCUUUAAAGAGUGAAACCAAGACUCAAUCUGAUAUAAACAUCUUGCUAUGCCAUCAUCUUUAUUACAACAGAUAUAACUCUUGUAAUCAAUGUAGUACAAAAAAUCAGUGAGGCAAAGGCAUUUGGAGGAAUUCCAUUUAUUGUGGAUGCAUUUUCACAAUAUAUAUUUAUUGCAGCGAUCAAUUAUCAGUGAAAAAUAUCAAGUGUUUAUAAAAUUUUUAGGAAUGGCAGAUUCACAGAACAUGCUAGUCACCUUGCAGUUUUACCUCUUAAAGAUAAGAAAGAAAAUUGUAAUCAAACAAGUAAACAAGGAAUUUAUUUUUCAAAAGAUUAAAUCCAAACUGAACAAAAUUCUACCCUAAAACUUAUUCCAUCCAAAUAUUGGAAUAAAAGCCAGGAUUGAUAUAUUCUCUUAACUUUAGACUUUCUAGAAAAAAUAUAUAAUAGUGAUCAGGAGAAGCUCUUAUUCAAAAGCACAACAAAGCAAUGUUACCUCGCCAUAGGCCUUAAUUCAAACUUCGAUCCAUUUCACUUCAAUGAUGUGAGUCGAUGUGAAAUGGGGCACUGCAUAUGAAUUCUAGUUCACCUUAU
Long non-coding RNA from Equus caballus (horse), 3296 nucleotides. RefSeq lists it as uncharacterized. The record is from RefSeq and is a predicted model, not a curated record. NCBI's taxonomy places the organism in Eukaryota, Metazoa, Chordata, Mammalia, Perissodactyla, Equidae.